Morone saxatilis (striped sea-bass) is the source of this 1634-nucleotide long non-coding RNA. RefSeq lists it as uncharacterized. The record is from RefSeq and is a predicted model, not a curated record. NCBI's taxonomy places the organism in Eukaryota, Metazoa, Chordata, Actinopteri, Moronidae. The transcript has 2 exons.
GCUGGUGUACUUUUAUUAGGGGCGCAGCAUCUUAUUUCUCCGGGACGCGCACCGGCCGCCGAGAGCGCGCACGAAGCGCCAUCACGUGGGAGGUCCCUUUAAGUUUCCAUUGACAGAGGCCUGAGCGUGUCACAUGGACAUGAUAUAAUGAAAAGGCAGGAACAGAGAGGCAGAGUGCGCUGAGCUCUGGGCAGAUGGAGAAGGGGCAGAAAUGUAGCUACGCAAUCAUCUGCCGACAGCCAGCAGCCAGCGGGGCCGAGCCGAGCCGAUCCGAUCCGGGCCGAGCCGGACUCACUGCGCCUCAUCGGACGGGACCUCUCUAUUCGCAGUUGCACCUGCCAGCUAUGACACGCACUUUGAAAGAGGAGGACAAAUCGCCUCGGUCCCGGAGCAGAAGCGGAGCGCCUUUCAGCUGUCCGCAUUCCAGGUGGUGUUGCGCACAUAGAAAUUGGAGUUGAAGUAAACAAGUGGGAAUCAGGCCUCGCGCCGGAGACUGAAACAGUGUUUUGAGGUUCAGCACGGCGCUCCGGGCUCGACUGGAAACAUCCCGCCCCUCUUUCACAAGCCCAGCCCUGAAGCUCUGUGUCCCUGUCAAGAACAAGUGAAGUUAUUGAUGAUUUUGUGUGACAAUUACUGCAAGUUCUCCAGAUUAAUCACAAUAAGCAAGCUCAUAAACAAGUUUAAUAAUAAAGUAUUGUUUUAUUGUUAAUCAGUCCCCUAACUAAUGGGCAGUGAUGCUGUAAAGUCUGAUUAAAUGUUUAUAGAUGUGACUAUGUUAAAUGUGACUAUGGCAGUUUUCUGGCUGUGAACAUAAUUUAUGAGUGUGUAGCUGUUAAGCAGCGGCCCUGUUUGUAUAAGAAAGCCAUCCAGUUUUCCUGAGGGAUGUUUGGAAACGUGCCUGUGAGAUCCCGUCAGCCCUUCAAUAUUUCAAUACUGAGGAAAACAAGAAAACCACCUGCCUGAUGCUCCGGCUAUUGCGCAAACACACACAAACACAGACACACACACACACACACACACCAGUCAACAUUUUGCUGAUUCAUAACAGGGCAGUCACAUCUGUGUGGAUAUGACACAGAGAGUUCAAACAGCCUCUAAUUUUGGCCGCAGUCUGAGUCUCAAGCAGUGAGGGGAAAUAAUUCACUGUGUUAAUGCAAGUGGCUCUUCCGGAGAUGCUUACCAGCAGCAGACGCUGACUCCCAGACUGGGCCAACUGGAGGAAGCACCAGUUGAUGUAAAAGCUUGGCAGAUGCCUACAACUGAGAAAGGAAACCAUUAAACUCAGCUUGAGAAAAUGGCUUCUUGAUGACAGAAAUGGCCAGCAUAUGCUGGUAGAGUAAUAUGAUGGUAGGAGGACAUUUUUUUUUGCUUGUCAUUGUUUGCCUUGUUGACACAUCAUCAUUUACCCUCAUCUCAACGUUCAACUUUAUACAACAGUCCACCGUUGAAUCAUCUUCAUUAUGUGAGGAUCUAACUGAUCUUCGUCAUCCUUCCUCGGCUGAUCUUAAGGCAGUACGACACAGAUGCAGGGGCGGAUCUAGAGAAAUAUUUAUGGGGGGCCCUGAGGGUGGCAUGAAGACUUUAAAGAGGUGGCAGAAAUACAGAUACGCUGAUUUAAUCACAUAUGUCAAUAU